This 635-nucleotide ribosomal RNA is filed under the name uncultured Marinobacter sp. Its description in RNAcentral is "bacterial SSU rRNA". It matches the Rfam family "Bacterial small subunit ribosomal RNA", at positions 870 to 1504 of the family's 1533-position model. The record is from RNAcentral. Lineage: Bacteria; Pseudomonadati; Pseudomonadota; Gammaproteobacteria; Pseudomonadales; Marinobacteraceae.
CGCCUGGGGAGUGCGGCCGCAAGGUUAAAACUCAAAUGAAUUGACGGGGGCCCGCACAAGCGGUGGAGCAUGUGGUUUAAUUCGACGCAACGCGAAGAACCUUACCUGGCCUUGACAUCCAGAGAGCUUUCCAGAGAUGGAUUGGUGCCUUCGGGAACUCUGAGAUAGGUGCUGCAUGGCCGUCGUCAGCUCGUGUCGUGAGAUGUUGGGUUAAGUCCCGUAACGAGCGCAACCCCUAUCCCUGGUUGCUAGCAGGUAAUGCUGAGAACUCCAGGGAGACUGCCGGUGACAAACCGGAGGAAGGUGGGGAUGACGUCAGGUCAUCAUGGCCCUUACGGCCAGGGCUACACACGUGCUACAAUGGCGCGUACAGAGGGCUGCCAACUCGCGAGAGUGAGCCAAUCCCUUAAAACGCGUCGUAGUCCGGAUCGGAGUCUGCAACUCGACUCCGUGAAGUCGGAAUCGCUAGUAAUCGCGAAUCAGAAUGUCGCGGUGAAUACGUUCCCGGGCCUUGUACACACCGCCCGUCACACCAUGGGAGUGGAUUGCACCAGAAGUAGUUAGUCUAACCUUCGGGAGGACGAUUACCACGGUGUGGUUCAUGACUGGGGUGAAGUCGUAACAAGGUAACCGUA